CGCGUAGGGUGCGAGCGUUGUCCGGAAUUAUUGGGCGUAAAGAGCUCGUAGGCGGUGUGUCGCGUCGGCCGUGAAAACCUGCAGCUUAACCGUGGGCUUGCGGUCGAUACGGGCAUCACUGGAGUUCGGCAGGGGAGACUGGAAUUCCUGGUGUAGCGGUGAAAUGCGCAGAUAUCAGGAGGAACACCGGUGGCGAAGGCGGGUCUCUGGGCCGAUACUGACGCUGAGGAGCGAAAGCGUGGGGAGCGAACAGG
RNAcentral lists this ribosomal RNA (254 nucleotides) under uncultured bacterium. RNAcentral's name for it is "partial 16S ribosomal RNA". It matches the Rfam family "Bacterial small subunit ribosomal RNA", at positions 524 to 776 of the family's 1533-position model. The record is from RNAcentral.